This 869-nucleotide ribosomal RNA is filed under the name uncultured bacterium. RNAcentral describes it as "bacterial SSU rRNA". It matches the Rfam family "Bacterial small subunit ribosomal RNA", at positions 21 to 883 of the family's 1533-position model. The record is from RNAcentral.
GGCUCAGAAUGAACGCUGGCGGCGUGCCUAACACAUGCGAGUCGGAUGUGCCGCAAGGUGCAUGGCAGACGGGUGAGUAACGCGUGGAAAACCUACCUCUUUGUGGGGAAUAACGCUCCGAAAGGAGUGGUAAUACCGCAUGAGACCGUAAGCUGGGAUGCUUACGGUGAAACCUGGGGACCGCAAGGCCUGGGGCAGGGAGAGGGUUCUGCGUCUGAUUAGCUAGUUGGUGAGGUAACGGCCCACCAAGGCUUCGAUCAGUAGCCGGCCUGAGAGGGUGAUCGGCCACACUGGAACUGAGACACGGUCCAGACUCCUACGGGAGGCAGCAGUGGGGAAUUUUGCGCAAUGGGCGAAAGCCUGACGCAGCAACGCCGCGUGGGUGAUGAAGGUCUUCGGAUCGUAAAACCCUGUCGUCGGGGACGAAGGUGGCCAUUUUAAUAGAGUGGUUACUUGACGGUACCCGGAGAGGAAGCCCCGGCUAACUCUGUGCCAGCAGCCGCGGUAAUACAGAGGGGGCAAGCGUUAUUCGGAAUUAUUGGGCGUAAGGGGUGCGCAGGCGGUGUUUUAAGUGAGAUGUGCAAUCCCCGGGCUUAACCUGGGAACUGCAUCUCAGACUGGAACGCUAGAGUACUGGAGAGGGUGGUAGAAUUCCACGUGUAGCGGUGAAAUGCGUAGAGAUGUGGAGGAAUACCAGUGGCGAAGGCGGCCACCUGGACAGUAACUGACGCUGAGGCACGAAAGCAUGGGUAGCAAACAGGAUUAGAUACCCUGGUAGUCCAUGCCUUAAACGAUGAACACUUGGUGUGGUGGGAGUUGACCCCUGCCGUGCCGUAGCUAACGCGAUAAGUGUUCCGCCUGGGGAGUAC